This is a long non-coding RNA of Astatotilapia calliptera (eastern happy), 2070 nucleotides long. The record is from Ensembl. Lineage: Eukaryota; Metazoa; Chordata; Actinopteri; Cichliformes; Cichlidae.
AGCAGACUCGUGGAAAUAUUAGUUGAUUGGUUGGUCAGUUUUUUGUUGUUUUUUUGCUUUAUCUUCAUCUCCAGAGGACUAAUGGUGGAAAAUAGCCCCCCCCCCCCCCCCCCCCCCACCACCCCCACCCCGCCGCAUUGUCAUCAUUACACUGACUUUGGUGGUUUUAAGUCUCUUAACAACCAUCAGUUUGUCAUAAAGUUUUGCUGCAGACUUUUCAGCUUGACUCUGGACUGUAGUCUUGUUAAAUGUUGCACACACCACCCAUUUGGCACCCACACCAGUCAAAACAAGCCAUGCAAUGCCUGAAAAUCCAGUUCGACUGAAGCUAAGUGUCUAUAGAUUUUAACUCUGAUGAUCAAUGCUAAGUGAUGACUGAUUAUAAUACUAUAAACCUUUGCAGAAUUGAUUGCACCAAGAAGAAGCACUAAAAGGACCGUCUGUAAUGAAGUACUGCAGCUUGAGAGCACUUUGAGAUGAUUUAGGCUAUUUAAUGGGCCUCAAGCACUAAACGCUUCCAGUCAAUUAUAUUAUUGGGCAACGAGUCUGAUAAAAAUAAGUAAACCCUGUGUGGAUCGCACUGUAAAACUUGGACAAUAUGCGUCACUGCAACCCCCCCUGGCUUCUGCUCCGCGGCUGCUGAGUGAGCCCUCAUCUGGGACUCUCCUCAGCUCUUUCUGGGACAGUGGCGCAGCUGCCCCUCUGUGGGUCUUCCUUGGUCUCUUGUGUUCUGGGGGCCUCUGGAUGUCUGGAGUCUUGAUCUCCUCCAUACCUGCUUCAUGCCCUGGAGGACGGGGCUGUGGCCCCCCCACACCCUCUAGCAGAUCAUUACAUGGAGGAACCUUUUAAAAAAACAAGCGCGUCCAUGCUCACAGGUGUACACACGGGUGAUCACACCCACAAACUACACCCUUUUUGGCUCCUACCUCAAAGCACACUGUGUUCUGUUGAUCUUAUGUGCUGCACAAUAAUGUUUAAUAUGUAGUAUUUACUGUCAUAUUCCCAUAUAUCAUUGUGAUGUUGUUUAUUCUAUUACUCUUGUUCUCUUCUGCUUGUUUUCUUUUUUCUUUCUCAGCAGGUGAUCCAGGUGAUCGAUAUAUGCAUUUUUUUUCUCUGCCCGUUCUGUUGGUUUUUGUCUUUUGCCCUUCUCCCCCGUCCCUCUUCUCAGCUGUUUCUCUUUCCCUCUUUCUUUCUCCCCUUCUUUCCCCCAGUCAAGUCUGUCCCGUAUUCAGUAAGUGAAAAUAAAAUAAACAAUAAAAGGUGAAUCAAAUGGACCAUUACGGCAAGGCUGGGAUGGUCAGUUUGGUAAAGUAAAUCCGUUGGGCAUCUUUCUUUGCCUUUAGACAACAAUUCUGAUGCAAAAGAGCCAAACGGGACAGGCCAAAAAAAAAAAAAAAUUGGACAAUAUGAAUUAAGUAUAGAUUUAGGCAGUUAAUAAUAAUCAUUAAAUGCAGGUAUAAGAGCGAACUAUUCAAACCCACUCUCUAGAUUUCGGUCCAUAUAGAUGUAAAUUCCUUUCUUUCCAAAGUAAACACUCGAUACUGCGUAUCAUAGACGUAGUUCUUGUUCUCCCCAAAAGCCCUGUUUAUGUGUCAGGUCUCCCUCUAAUUUACAACAAUCAACAUGCUUGAAACGAAAGCCUAUUGUUUACUCUUAGCAACCACAAACCCACAGCCAUUUUUAUUUUUCCACAAGCCGGAUGUACUGUUUUACUGCAUUAACAUCCUUUCAAGCUUUAAAACCUCACACGGCGGUCUGAAUGUAUUGCCCUGUGCAGAAGCAGAACAGGUACAUGUAUAGCCUGGUUGUAAAUGACAUCCAGUUUCGUUUCAGUUGUUGAGAUAUGGGUUGACUCGGGUCAUGUGGUUUGCAUGUACAUGAUGCUGCAUGGCAGCGCACAUUGUAUGACCAAAGCAGAGGCCUCUGCAGAUCUGUAAUUCCUGCUGAUUGGCACGCUGGUUCAACCUUCUGAAAAACCUGAACUGUUAACUGCGUUGUGUGGCCGUCUUUUUCUACAGCUGUGCUGUAAUUAUGCCUUCUUGAAAAGCCAAUUAAAUUUCACAUAUGUUC